Molecule: ribosomal RNA, 351 nt
Filed under: Boophis quasiboehmei
Lineage: Eukaryota; Metazoa; Chordata; Amphibia; Anura; Mantellidae
Description: partial 16S ribosomal RNA
Rfam family: Bacterial large subunit ribosomal RNA
Source: RNAcentral
GACCCCAUGGAGCUUUAAACCUGACAGCACCCGCUCAUUCUAUACCCCAUUAUUUGCCCGACCCCUGUCUGCUCAGUUUUAGGUUGGGGUGACCACGGAGUAUAAAAUAACCUCCAUGAAGAAGGGGAUAUUUCCCUUAUUAGAGAACCACACUUCCAAGAACUAAUAAAUUAAUUUUCAAUGACCCGAUACCCGAUAAUCGAUCAACGAACCAAGUUACCCUGGGGAUAACAGCGCAAUCCACCCUGAAAGCCCUUAUUAACAGGUGGGUUUACGACCUCGAUGUUGGAUCAGGGUAUCCCAGUGGUGCAGCAGCUACUGAGGGUUCGUUUGUUCAACGAUUAAAACCCU